GCAAACUUGGUCAUUUAGAGGAAGUAAAAGUCGUAACAAGGUUUCCGUAGGUGAACCUGCGGAAGGAUCAUUAUUGAAUAAACUUGAUGGGCUGUUGCUGGCUCUUAGGAGCAUGUGCACGCUUGUCAUCUUUAUCCAUCCACCUGUGCACCUUGUGUAGUCUUUGGAAGUUAACGAGCGUCGAAACUGUUCGUGCGAGUUUCUCCAAAGUCUAUGUUUUUCAUAUACCACGUAGAAUGUCUCUGAAUGUAUUUCAUUGGGCCUCAGUGCCUAUAUAACACAAUACAACUUUCAGCAACGGAUCUCUUGGCUCUCGCAUCGAUGAAGAACGCAGC
Molecule: unclassified non-coding RNA, 335 nt
Filed under: uncultured fungus
Lineage: Eukaryota; Fungi
Description: partial contains small subunit ribosomal RNA, internal transcribed spacer 1, and 5.8S ribosomal RNA
Rfam family: Eukaryotic small subunit ribosomal RNA (bases 1-73)
Source: RNAcentral